CCACUCUUGACAUCACCAAAGCAAUUACAGAUGCCUCCUCUCCAUAUUUUCUUCACUCCUCCAAUCAACCCAGUAAUGUGCUUGUUGAUACACCAUUGAAUGGUGAUAAUUAUUCCGCUUGGUGCCGAGCAGUUACUCGGGCUCACAAUGCUAAGAAUAAGCUGGGGUUCGUUAACGGAACCCUCUCCAAACCCACCGAUCCCACUGCUUCGGCUCUCUGGGAUCGAUGUUGCAACAUGAUCAUGUCAUGGCUCCUCCACUCCAUAGAAAAGACCCUUGCCAGUAGCCUUGUUUAUUGUGCCACCCCGUUUGAUCUAUGGGCGGAGGGUGCUGCUAGAUGUACAGAACGUUUCUUUACAGAGUCUACACAGAAUGACGUGGCAGCUGAGGAUUAUUAAAAAAAAAAAAAAGUCUCCAGUGAUUUCCUUCAUUUCAUUCCCGUCUGCCUCUCCACCUGAAAUUGGGAACCCUAGAAUCACACCUCCGUCAACCUCCGACUGGGGCCACUAUCCUUCUCAACCUUCGACCGACGAUUUUAAAUGUGGCCAGAUUUGCAAUCAUCGAAAGCACAGUGAAAUCGGGUCCUUCAUCUUCACCACCGUCCACAAACGCCGCAUUCUUGGUCGACUCAGUCCACAACAGCUAGGUAUCUUCACCUUCGUCCACGAACGCCAACUGAUUUCCACCGUCGACAAUUAACUCAGUCCACAGCAACAAUAUUCUUUGUCAAACGUUGUGAAAAAGGAAGUUUAGAAAAUUGUGAAAAAUGGUGAAAAAGGUUUUGAAGAACGAUUUGAAGCUUGUUCAGUAUGCAACUGUUGUGAGAAUCAAACAAAUUCCCUAUUCUCUGUAAAUUGUGAAACUUGUGAAAAACGUUUUGAAGUUUGUUCAAUAUGUAAUUGCUGUGAGAAACUAGUGUAAUUCCCUUUUCUCUGUAAAUUGUUGGGAGAAACAAGUGUAAUCUUCUUGCUGUAUUUUAUUAUUUUUUUGCUAUAUCUCUCAAAUUGUGGAGUCCAGUCAACCAACCAUUUUAACACUUGUAAAUGGAUACUACAAUUUUGGGAGUCCAGUAAACUAUUUUGACACUAGUAAAUGGAUACUGCAAUUUUGGUUGCUAUUAGUUUUCUGUUGCUUAAAUUGCGUAAAUGGAUACUACAAUUUUUUUUUUUUUUUUUUUUUGACUGGGGAUGCCUACACAUUGUGCUCCAAAGUUGCAAAAGAAAAAUCGAAGAAAAAAGCUAGAGAAGAAAGUGGACUCGGCAAUUUCCAUAUGUGGGUAAGACAACUCUUGAGUGGACUGAAGAAGAGAGUGAAGCUACUCGAUUGGAAAAGGAAAUCAGCUCCUCCAAGAGAGUGGUUGGAGAAGAGAAUGCCGAUCGCUCAAAUAGCCAAUGCUCAGCUCCGGUGCUCGUGAGGUUGGAGAUGAAGUGGAGUAGCUAAUUUCCCCACUUCAAUUUUCAAUUUUAUCGCAUCCAGUUUCGGGGAUAAUGAAGUCGGCUUUGGCGGGUUAUGAGGUAAAACAUAGAGGAUUUCCCUCUUUUUUUCUCCAGCCACGUCACUAUUUUUACAAAUUCUGUAAGCAUUCUGUGAGAUUCAAUCUGUACAUCUAGCUUUAUUGAUGGGCGGAACUCGAAACCAGAUUCCAACUGAGCAACCGAACUACCAUUUUUCGUCUAAAAAGAGAUCUUGCAACCUAUCAGUGACAGAUUACUACGGCAAACUGAAGGCUCUCUUAGAAGAACUUUCUCUCUUCAAUCGGCCACUCCAUGCUCCUGCGGUGCUGCCAAAAAAUUCUCAGAACUCCAGUCCUCUAAUCAAGUGUACCAGUUUUAAUGGGUCUCAAUGAAUCUUAUCAUCAAUUGAGAUCCUAGAUUUUGGCCGUGGAUCCGUUGCCGUCGUUAACCCGUUGUUAUGCUAUCAUUCACCAAGAGGAGACCCAGAGCCUGUUAAAUGUGUCUCCUUCCCGAUCUGUUGCUGCAGCUUUUCUUUCCAAAGCACUGAGUCAACCUCCUACAUCUCAGCCCCAUCCUAAGAAGGUUUGGCCUCCUGAUAGUCCCUUAUGCUCUGAGUGUGGAAAAAUCAGUCACCCCCGUUCCAAAUGCUUCGAAGACAUUGAGUAUCCUGACUAGUGACCGAAUAAGCAAAAGAAACCAAAUUCGACUUCGGCAGUAAACAGUCCCAACUCUUCCUGCCUAUAUAACCAAUUAAUGGAACUUCUGCAGCCGACGUCCCUUGCUUUCUCAGGUUUAUCCCAUUCUCCCUCUUCCAAUUUACCAUUCUGCCCUUGGAUAAUAGACAAUGGUGCUACGCACCAUAUUUCUGCCUCUUCCUUCAGUUCUAGCUCUCCAACUAUCACUCACCCUAUUUCUGUCAAUCUUCCUACAGGAACCAGUGUUAAUGUCACUUCAACUGGUGAUAUUAAUCUGUCUCCUUCCCCCACCUUUCAUAAUGCUCUUUGUGCUCGUGAAUUUAAAUUCAAUUUAAUAUCUAUUAGCCAAUUAACUAAAUCUCUAAAUGGUAUCGUUUCUUUUUUCCCUAACUUUUGUGUCUUUCAGGACCUAACGGCAAAGACGCUAAUUGAAGUGGGUGAAGAGCGCGAUGACCUCUACUAUUUUAAACCUGCAAUUGCCUCGUCUUUCCAAACCACUGUAUCUUUUACAGUCUGGCAUAGACGGUUAGGUCAUCCAUCCAUUAAUAAUGUUCCUAGUUUUAUUUCUCGUCCUAAGAUUUUGGAACAUUGUGAUAGUUGUGCUCGUGGAAAGCACACUCGUUUACCUUUUCAAUUGGUUUCAAAUAAAAGUGCCAUGCCUUUUGAA
This 2816-nucleotide long non-coding RNA is filed under the name Olea europaea subsp. europaea. The record is from RNAcentral. Lineage: Eukaryota; Viridiplantae; Streptophyta; Magnoliopsida; Lamiales; Oleaceae.